AUUGAACGCUGGCGGCAGGCCUAACACAUGCAAGUCGGGCGAGUGGCGGACGGGUGAGUAAUGUAUGGGGAUCUGCCUGAUGGAGGGGGAUAACUACUGGAAACGGUAGCUAAUACCGCAUACCAUCAGAUGAACCCAUAUGGGAUUAGCUGGUAGGUAGUGUAACGGCUUACCUAGGCGACGAUCCCUAGCUGGUCUGAUAGGAUGAUCAUCCACCAUGGAACUGAAAAACGGCCCAGACUCCUACGGUAGGCAGCAGUGGGGAAUAUUGCACAAUGGGCGCAAGCCUGAUGCAGCCAUGCCGCGUGUAUUAAGAAGGCCUUCGGGUUGUAAAGUACUUUCAGCGGGGAGGCGUUACCCGCAGAAGAAGCACCGGCUAACUCCGUGCCAGCAGCCGCGGUAAUAC
This 406-nucleotide ribosomal RNA is filed under the name uncultured bacterium. RNAcentral's name for it is "partial 16S ribosomal RNA". It matches the Rfam family "Bacterial small subunit ribosomal RNA", at positions 30 to 526 of the family's 1533-position model. The record is from RNAcentral.